Molecule: ribosomal RNA, 252 nt
Filed under: uncultured bacterium
Lineage: Bacteria
Description: partial 16S ribosomal RNA
Rfam family: Bacterial small subunit ribosomal RNA
Source: RNAcentral
GACGAAGGUGGCUAGCGUUAUUCGGAUUUACUGGGCAUAAAGCGCGCGUAGGCGGCUUGAUAAGUCGGAGGUGAAAGCCUGCAGCUCAACUGCGGUGUGCCUCCGAAACUGUCAGGCUUGAGUGCAGGAGGGGUGAUUGGAACUCCAGGUGUAGCGGUGAAAUGCGUAGAUAUCUGGAGGAACACCAGAGGCGAAGGCGAAUCACUGGACUGCUACUGACGCUGAGGCGCGAAAGCUAGGGGAGCAAACAGG